RNAcentral lists this ribosomal RNA (350 nucleotides) under uncultured bacterium. Its description in RNAcentral is "bacterial SSU rRNA". It matches the Rfam family "Bacterial small subunit ribosomal RNA", at positions 917 to 1267 of the family's 1533-position model. The record is from RNAcentral.
GGGCCCGCACAAGCGGCGGAGCAUGUUGCUUAAUUCGAGGCAACGCGAAGAACCUUACCAGGCCUUGACAUCCUCGGAACAAUCUAGAGAUAGAUUGGUGCCUUCGGGAACCGAGUGACAGGUGCUGCAUGGCUGUCGUCAGCUCGUGUCGUGAGAUGUUGGGUUAAGUCCCGUAACGAGCGCAACCCUUGUCCUUAGUUGCCAGCAUUUUAGUUGGGGACUCGUAGGAGACUCCGGGGUCAACUCGGAGGAAGGUGGGGAUGACGUCAAAUCAUCACCGGCCCUUACGUCCUGGGCCACACACGUGCUACAAUGGCCGGUACAGAGAGCAGCCACGUCGCAAGGCGGAG